UACGAAGGGGGCUAGCGUUGCUCGGAAUGACUGGGCGUAAAGCGCGCGUAGGCGGCCCGGUACGUCCGCUGUAAAAGUCCAGGGCUCAACCCUGGAAAGCCGGUGGAUACUGUCGGGCUAGAGUCCGGAAGAGGCGAGUGGAAUUCCUGGUGUAGCGGUGGAAUGCGCAGAUAUCAGGAGGAACACCGGUGGCGAAGGCGGGUCUCUGGGCCACUACUGACGCUGAGAAGCGAAAGCAUGGGGAGCGAACAGG
Molecule: ribosomal RNA, 253 nt
Filed under: uncultured bacterium
Lineage: Bacteria
Description: partial 16S ribosomal RNA
Rfam family: Bacterial small subunit ribosomal RNA
Source: RNAcentral